Molecule: ribosomal RNA, 118 nt
Filed under: Cordylochernes scorpioides
Lineage: Eukaryota; Metazoa; Arthropoda; Arachnida; Pseudoscorpiones; Chernetidae
Source: RNAcentral
GCGGUCAUACCACAUUGGUAACAUCGACUCCUGUCCAAUCACCGAAGUUAAGCAAUCCCAGACCUGGUCAGUACUUGGGAGGGUGACCACCUAGGAACACCGGGUGCUGCUGUAGGAU